Molecule: ribosomal RNA, 241 nt
Filed under: uncultured Actinomycetales bacterium
Lineage: Bacteria; Bacillati; Actinomycetota; Actinomycetes; Actinomycetales
Description: partial 16S ribosomal RNA
Rfam family: Bacterial small subunit ribosomal RNA
Source: RNAcentral
ACUCGAGUGGCGAACGGGUGAGUAACACGUGGGUGAUCUGCCCUGCACUUCGGGAUAAGCCCGGGAAACUGGGUCUAAUACCGGAUAGGAGCCAUUUUUAGUGUGAUGGUUGGAAAGUUUUUCGGUGUAGGAUGAGCUCGCGGCCUAUCAGCUUGUUGGUGGGGUAAUGGCCUACCAAGGCGGCGACGGGUAGCCGGCCUGAGAGGGUGGACGGCCACAUUGGGACUGAGAUACGGCCCAG